Molecule: ribosomal RNA, 276 nt
Filed under: uncultured bacterium
Lineage: Bacteria
Description: partial 16S ribosomal RNA
Rfam family: Bacterial small subunit ribosomal RNA
Source: RNAcentral
CGUCCCGCCGGCGACCGGCGCACGGGUGAGUAACACGUAUGCAACCUGGCCGCCACAGGGGGAUAACCCGCGGAAACGCGGCCUAAUACCCCGUGACGCCACCGGAGGGCAUCCUCCGGGUGGCCAAAGGAGCGAUCCGGUGGCGGAUGGGCAUGCGGCGCAUUAGCUAGACGGCGGGGUGACGGCCCACCGUGGCGACGAUGCGUAGGGGUUCUGAGAGGAAGGCCCCCCACACUGGGACUGAGACACGGCCCAGACUCCUACGGAAGGCAGCAG